Molecule: RNA transcript, 1642 nt
Organism: Cavia porcellus (domestic guinea pig)
Lineage: Eukaryota; Metazoa; Chordata; Mammalia; Rodentia; Caviidae
Gene: Tmem222
Gene name: transmembrane protein 222
Exons: 7
Source: RefSeq, a predicted model, not a curated record
GGGGACCAGCCGCACCGGAGCUGGUCCGCCUGCAGCGGGGUGCGCGCGGCAUGGCGGAAGCGGAAGGGAGUUCUCCGCUCCUGUCGCCGCCGCUGCCGCCCCCUCCCGGAAUGGCGGAAGUGGAGGUGCCGACGGCGGCCGAGACGGACAUGAAGCCGUACCACGGCUCUGGCUCGGUCGCCAUGGACGUGGAGCGGAGCCGCUUCCCUUACUGCGUGGUGUGGACGCCCAUCCCGGUGCUAACAUGGUUUUUCCCCAUCAUCGGCCACAUGGGCAUCUGCACAUCCACAGGAGUCAUUCGGGACUUCGCUGGCCCCUAUUUCGUCUCGGAAGACAACAUGGCCUUUGGAAAGCCUGCCAAGUACUGGAAGUUGGACCCUGCACAGGUCUACGCCAGUGGGCCCAACGCGUGGGACACAGCUGUGCACGAUGCCUCUGAGGAGUACAAGCACCGCAUGCACAACCUCUGCUGUGACAACUGCCACUCGCAUGUGGCAUUGGCCCUGAAUUUGAUGCGCUACAAUAACAGCACCAAUUGGAAUAUGGUGACACUCUGCUUCUUCUGCCUGCUCUACGGGAAGUACGUCAGGGUUUUAGAAGUGUCCUGAGAAGAACGUAGCUGUGGUUAUGGAGAGACUGCGGCAGAGCCAGAGUUGAACCAAGGCCCUAGACUCCAGCCUCAGCACUGCUGACACUCACCAGCUUCUCCCACAUCGGGGCCUUUGUGAAGACCUGGCUGCCCUUUGUCCUCCUCCUGGGCAUCAUCCUGACUGUCAUCCUGGUCUUCAACUUGCGGUGAUGGCUGCCAGGUGGCCCCAAGCCCACCAGGCUCCUGAGAAGGCAGCCACUACCCUUUUGGUCCCAGAUUCUCCCUCUUGACCCCUAAGGCAGAGUGGACCUGCUGCGAAGGACCUGGGGUCUGGGCUGCGGGAUGGAAGUGCUGAGGAUGAACAUGGGCCAGGGCUGUCUGCUUGCUGUAUCUGGUGGCUUUUCAGGAGCUCUGUGUCCCCUCCCUUGGGCCUGUGACCCCAGCCUUGAGGCCCCCUCCUUGCCAGCUGUUGGGAUGGCCUCACCUCCCUCUAUUGAGCUCUUCCUGCCACUGCCAGUGCCCAGGGCACACGAGGACCCACCUAUGAGGCCACACCAUGAUGAGAUUGGGAGUGGAAGCCUGCUCUUCAACCGCUGGCUCUGGUCUCCAGGUGGGGCGGGAGCACCAAGAAGUCUUCCUGGUGCCUCCCCAACAUACUCCAGAGCGAUCAAAUGGGGCUGGACAGGCCCCUGCAGCACCCUCUUCCAUCCCAGGGCUCCCAGCGCCUGGAUCAUCUCCUUCUGCAGUUUGGGGCUGGGCUUGCAGGGGAGGGGUGCAGUUUGGCGGAGUCAGUGUGUAGAACAGACAAUAUAGACCACACUUGGCCCCAGAAGGAGUGCAGGCUACCUGCUGGUGAUGGCAACAUUGGGUCCCGAGAAUAGGUAGCCAGUCAGCAGCUUGUGCCACAAGAGAGCCGAGGAGGGGCUGCUCUUCCCACUCCACCACCACUCCCCGUAAGUUGCCAGAGGGGGCUGUGCCGCUGCCUCACCUCCUGCCCCGCGGGCUCCUUUGUGAGGGGCUCCCUGGCAGGACAAUAAAGAAUUUUUGAGUCCA